CGGUCUUAUAAAUAUAUGAAUUAGUCACAUUUUGUGGUUUACCACAUUGACUGUGUAGGCCCUAUUUGGCGUCAUUAUUGGCGAGAUAAAAGGUUUUCAAUGGGCAAUAACCAGGACUGCUUGUUCAGGAAUGAAACAUCGAACCUCCUUGUUUGAGGAGUCCUCAAUUUGUCUCAGCUGUUUUUCCUGCAUACUCCUCCUGAGACUGGCUUUGAGGAGAUCCAAGUGUAUGCACAAGGGAUGACUCAAAAACAGCAUAGCUGGGGAUGCUGCAUGCAACUAGCGAAUGGACCUCCAAUCAACUGUAGUUGUCUCAGCAAUCAUGCUCCCAGAAUGCUGGUCCUCCUGUUUUUACCACACACAAGCCCAAUGGGGCUUGGUGGUUGUUGUAUUUCACUUUUACCAAAGUCAUUCUCACAGGCGUUAUCUUUUAUCCAGUAUAUGUUUUUUGUUAAAUAUCUGCAGAUUUCAAAUCAGAAUCUUUGAAGUGCCGUUCAAAGUCAUUUUGUGGAAUGACUGAAACUGCCCAGCCAGUGUCCAAUUCCAUUUUAAUUAAUUCGCUGUUCACUUCUGGUAUAAGUCAUAUUGCUUGUCUCCUGUUUUAACAAUGUAAAUAUGAAGGCGACCCAGUCCUGUUUCACUCUCAUCAUUAUCAGAUUUUUCAUCAACAGCAGAAAGAUAAGGGCUCUUUUUGAAACUGCAACUUGACCUUUUAUGUUUUUCUCUUUCCUGUGCAGUCCAUUUAUUCUUGUCUGCCUACAUGUUCUUGUUUGUGUCCUACUUUGUUACAUUUUCUGCAAGGUUCAUCUUUUAACCUGCAUUGGUCUGGUAUAUGUGAGCCACUGCCACAGCGGUAACACAAUUUGUUCAGUCAGGCCAGUUUUUGUUUGAAUGCUGCAAUUUUGUUCACACUCACUUUCAUUCCUGACUGUAACUCAUUUGUGCCUCUGUCUGCUGUUUCCUUUGAUACAGUGAUUUCAACUGCUCUUUUAAAUGUGUGUUGUGCUUCAGCUGGGAGCUGUUUUUGAAUGCUUUCUUGUAAGAUUCCACAAUCCAAAAUAUCUCUCAGUGCAUUAUUAACUCGCAAUGCUCAAACAUUUUCUUCAAUUAAAUCAUGUAAACUGAAA
Hypanus sabinus (Atlantic stingray) is the source of this 1127-nucleotide long non-coding RNA. RefSeq lists it as uncharacterized. The transcript is spliced from 3 exons. The record is from RefSeq and is a predicted model, not a curated record. Lineage: Eukaryota; Metazoa; Chordata; Chondrichthyes; Myliobatiformes; Dasyatidae.